Molecule: non-coding RNA, 4181 nt
Organism: Ictidomys tridecemlineatus (thirteen-lined ground squirrel)
Lineage: Eukaryota; Metazoa; Chordata; Mammalia; Rodentia; Sciuridae
Source: RefSeq, a predicted model, not a curated record
AGUGCAUUGAUCAGCCACCAAUUUGCACAGAACUUCUGUGCAGCAUUUAGAGCUUCUGUUCUAUGGCUUCCCUUUGACUUCCUGUUCACUUUCUAGCAGCUAUGGUCCUCUUUAAAUUUGAUGCUUCAAGCCAGCAAGACUGUGAACUUUACAGCUAAGUUUUAGCCAGCCAUCCGGAAAUGUACUGGGAUCUAUUUUCAGGACGAGGAGACUGUGCACUAACUGAAGGAGAAGAAAGCAGUCAUCGUUUUCAUGUGCUCAAACCAAGUUUAUCGUACUCUCUACAUUUAAACCUCAUCGAAUAACUUAUUCAGGUUUAAGGGGAGUUUUCCCAGAGGCUACAUGAUAAUGUGAUAUUGCAGAUAUUGCAACAAUGCAGUUGGCAGAAGCAGAUAUGAAAAUCUAUCAUUCUUCCAUUAUGUCUAAGUUUGAAGAGGACCUCUGUACACCCUUAUUCUUCCAGACCCCUGAAAAGCAGGACCCAAACAUGACUCCACAGAUGAUCACCACAUUGUCACCACCUGGAAUGUUUUAUGGAGAAUUAGAUGUUCUUCAAAAAAUAUUGCGGGGACAGACUGCCAUGGCUGGACAGAGGGAUGAAAACAGCAAGUGUUCCAAUUAAACGAACAAAGAAAGUUCUAGAAGCCAUGCAUGUACUAAGAAGCCGUCUUAAUCAAAGGACUUUUCUAAUUGUGCAGCCAACCAAACAUGCUAAACCACUUACAGCAGUUUAUUGACAUUGGCGAGGAACAACAAUUUAGAAAAGCAAAUGACGCAAAUUGCAUAUUGUGGAGUUCUCGAGGUUUCUUCCCCCCUACCACCACCAACCAAGCUUUCUUUAGAAAACUUCUUUUUACAUUGAAAACAUGUCAAAAUUUGGGAAAGCAACAAGCGAUCAGAUUGGAGAUGAAAACACCUUCUUCUAGGUAGACCACAUAAAGAUUUGAACAAGGAAACAUGCCUGGGGCUCACAUACUGAAGAAAGGAGCACAGGAGCUCAGUGGAAGAUGGAGUUUGUGUUCCAGCACCUGCAACACAAUGGCAGCAGCUCUCAAAACAAGAGCCCAGAGUCUGCUGACAGCAUCAGCAGCCAAUCACAUCUGCACACACGAUAUGCAUUUGAGCCACAUUCUUAGUCACUAUCCAUUUCAUAUUCUGGUCCAGGAGGAUGCAAAUGAAAUUUGGAUUCACGGAGCUAACAUUACACGACAAGUUAGAUAUCAGUUUUCACAAGGGGAGGACAAGGGAAUGAGGUAGCUAAUGCCUACACUGGUUUGCCCUAAGAUUUUAGAUCCACAACUCAUCUGGUGGUCCUCGUGGAGUGUGGGUCAGUCCUAGCACUUCAUGUCUGUUAACUUGUUCAUCCUCAAGUCGUCUGUGCUAAUUCUGUAAUCGAAUCCUUCUUGGUUGGUAAGGAAAUCAAGGCAGGAGGAUCUUAAUCGACCUCCUUCACCUUCCAGGCUCAACAAUGGGGUUGGGAAGGAUGGAAGUCGGGAAGCACAGCCUGCUUGAACACACCCUCAUGUAUGAGGAGGAAGACACCCAGUUCUUGCCCUUUUAACUUAAUGGCGAUAUCAUUACACACACACACAAACACACACACACACAUACAGUCAUGCAUCAUUACGCUUCAUAAUUGCCCCAAGGAUUUGGGUAGUUUUAGACUAAAAAGUAAAUCAAUGAAAUGGUUACCAAGAGCUGGGAGCUGGGCAUACUGGAGAAUGAUGGUUUAAUGCGUGCAGAGUUUCAGCUGCGGGAGAUGAAAACAUUCUGGAGAUGGAAGAGGGUGAUGGUUGCAUGGUGAUGUAACUGUACUCAAUGCCCAAUGCAAAUGUCAUGUAUCUAUUUUAUCAUAAUUUUUAAAACUAGGAGCCAAAGAAGGUAAGUUGCAUUACGGUCAUCCAACCCAAAGUGUCAAAUGGAUUAAGGCUGAGAAAGCCCAGUUACAGGAGGGCUAGCGGGAGAGUGAGUGUCUUCUACUACAUUGUGUAUUGACCAGGUUGGUUUUAUUUUAAUAUCUUGAUCCUGAUGUUUAUUGUCUGGUCUUUUCCCGGAGAGAAUACAUGGCAGAGGUUUAAGUUCCUGGGAAAUUCAGAAGCUAUAAAGCAAGAGGGUUUAUUUCUGUUACAUUCUGAGUUUCCAUGGCUUAGGCUAGAGUUUUCAGUGAAAAAAAUGAUGGUCAUUGUCCAAAGUGGUUUCCAGGCUGAAGUGGCCCUGUCAUCCCUCCGUGUUUUUAAGGGGAAGAAUGAUAUAUGCCCAAUAUUAUCUCUGCUAAAUCAUUCAGAACUACAAAACAACUUCAAGUGAGAACAGAUUUUCAGAUUUAAAAGAUAAUUCUCUGCCCACUGAUGUGUAAGAUGGAAAAAGAGGACAAAAAAAAUCUUGGAAAGAACUUAAGACUUAAAAUUAAGGCAACCGGGCCUUGUGUUCAUAAGGAUCUCAUCUCUCAAUGAAUCAGAACCUUCCUUGUGAAGGUCAAGAUCUUCAUACCCACUGAGAUAAAUAAGCUAUUACAUUAUUUUUCAGAAUGUCUGUUAGAAAUGUAAGUCCACAUACCUGCUGGGUUUAAAAAAAAAAGAGUCCAGUCUUAAAAAUGGAAAAUAAAAUUUAAUACCAUGUUAUUACUUACAGUUGUCAUUGGCGAAGCUUCUAGCAGCCUUCUGCAUUUGCAAGCACCACCCAGGGUUGUUUUUGUUUCAAAAUGGAUUUUUCCCCUCAAGAUUUUUAUGAAGAUUUCUAAGUGGAAUCGCAUGCAGUCCUGCGAAGGGCAAAUUUAAUUCUUUUUACUUACAGUUUAAUUUUUUUUAAUUCUAAUCUUAUGAUUUUUUCCAGAAAUAAGAAAGGUACGUGUAGUGUGAAAUUGGCAGUGCGUUAAAGGAUUUAACUGUCCAUAUCUGUAUGGCCCUGUGUCUGGCGGUCUUAUCCAAAUCUUUCACCCCAAUAGACCCACUGUGAAUAUACCUUUUAGAACUAAAGCUUUAGCUAAAAGAUCUUUUUUAAUAUUCAAACUUUUAUUCUGUAAAAUUGUUGAUGAUGAUCAUAGGAAAGAGUACAAUAAAAAGAGUUUGUGUCACAUUUUUUGAAAAGGCUAUUUCUAGAAGCCUCCGUGAGCUUCCCCUUCAUGUAUCCAUUCAACAAAUCCAUAUUGAGUAACAUCUGUACACUGCUUUAAGCAAUGGAAAUCCAGGAGUGAACCAAAUGAGAUUCAGUCCUAUCUUUGUGAAAUGAAUUUUUUAGUACCACCACCAACAAAUUGUUAAACUGUGGAUUAUUUAAUUAGCAUUGCAGGUGCUUCAAAGAGAACCAGAGAUCCCAUGACAGUUUAACUGGACAUUAAACUUGGAGAAAGGGUUGUUGGGAUUCAGUACUACCCGUAGCCCCAGGCAAAAGCCCCGGGUCCUGAAGUUUGAAGGAAUCCACUCUCCUAAUUCUAGACCACACCCAGGUUUCCCUGACCCUUCCAUUUCUGUACAAAGCCCCUCUCUGAGCCUUACUCAGACCUUUUUUUCUGGGCCUGUCAUAUCCCAAGGGGGACCAUCGGCAAGGAUGUAUAUUCCUAGGCUUCAGGGUGGUAACCAAGAGGGUCUGCUGGCAAAGCAUGGGUGUGCAUGGGGACUCCGAGGUACACACUGGGAGAUGCACAAGUCUCCCCUUAUACCAAGCGAAAGGGAACCAAACAAGAGAAAGAAGGGAGUUGGGGGCAUUGGUCACUAGCCAGGGGCCAGGAACCCCCUCAUUCUUAUACGACAAUAUUCUUCUGUGGAAUCUGCAAAGGCUGAAUUAUCUCUAUAAGAUCUGAGCCUUCAACUAUACUCUUGCUUUGAGCCCUGGUUGGGGUGGAUCUGUCUGACCUGAGUUUUGCAGCAUGAGUUGGAAUUGACUGAUCAAGAGAAAGAAAUGAUGUUUUGUGUCUGAGAAAUAAAAUAAUUUGAAAUAUUUCUCACUGGAGCUUGACUGAGAGUUAUCUGGGGCAACAGAGGAAAGGCCUGCUCUGGGUGACACCCUGGGAAAGGGAUGUGUUAUGUGCCCAUAAAUGAAAGCUCUCUGUAGGAUAUUUUUGAUGAGGUAUAAAAAAAUAUACCCACAAUGGCACAUGUCUGUAAUCCCAGCUAGCUGGGAGGCUGAUCCAGGAGGAUUGCAAGGUUGAGGCCAGGCUUAACAAUUUAGAGAAGACCCUUAGC